This 424-nucleotide long non-coding RNA is filed under the name Ananas comosus (pineapple). RNAcentral describes it as "long non-coding RNA (ACOM_LNC013194)". The record is from RNAcentral. Lineage: Eukaryota; Viridiplantae; Streptophyta; Magnoliopsida; Poales; Bromeliaceae.
AUCCUUUGCUUUGUUUGGUUCGAGGUUAAGAAAAAAGUAGUUAUUUCAGUAAGUUUAGGAUUAAAGUGGGAUUAAAAUUUUUUUGUAUUUGGUUGGGGGUUGGAGUUACUCUAGAAUAAUAAAAAAUAGCGUUUGGUUAGAGUAGGUGGGAUAAGAAGAUAAUGAUUGAUAAAGAAGGAUAAUGAUUGGUUGGAGUAGGUAUGAUAAGAAAGAUAGUGGGUUAUUAUGAAUAGAAAAAAGUAUUUGGUUGGAGUUUGGUAGGGUUAGGUGGGGUUAGCUAAUCCGGAAUAAUUUAUUUAAGGUGGGAUUAGGUGAGGUUAGCUAAUCCCAUCUAUUUUUUGGAGUGUUUGGAGAUAAAAUGGGGGUUAAGGGGUUAUUCCACCCUUAACCCCCAACCAAACAAGGGCAAAAGGAUUUUAGUUUG